AGUGAACGCUGGCGGUAGGCCUAACACAUGCAAGUCGAACGGCAGCACAGUAAGAGCUUGCUCUUACGGGUGGCGAGUGGCGGACGGGUGAGGAAUACAUCGGAAUCUACUUUUUCGUGGGGGAUAACGUAGGGAAACUUACGCUAAUACCGCAUACGACCUACGGGUGAAAGCAGGGGAUCUUCGGACCUUGCGCGAUUGAAUGAGCCGAUGUCGGAUUAGCUAGUUGGCGGGGUAAAGGCCCACCAAGGCGACGAUCCGCAGCUGGUCUGAGAGGAUGAUCAGCCACACUGGAACUGAGACACGGUCCAGACUCCUACGGGAGGCAGCAGUGGGGAAUAUUGGACAAUGGGCGCAAGCCUGAUCCAGCCAUACCGCGUGGGUGAAGAAGGCCUUCGGGUUGUAAAGCCCUUUUGUUGGGAAAGAAAAGCAGCAGGUUAAUACCCCGCUGUUCUGACGGUACCCAAAGAAUAAGCACCGGCUAACCUCGUG
Molecule: ribosomal RNA, 492 nt
Filed under: uncultured bacterium
Lineage: Bacteria
Description: partial 16S ribosomal RNA
Rfam family: Bacterial small subunit ribosomal RNA
Source: RNAcentral